RNAcentral lists this long non-coding RNA (624 nucleotides) under Betta splendens (Siamese fighting fish). RNAcentral describes it as "lncRNA (ENSBSLG00000025166.1)". Lineage: Eukaryota; Metazoa; Chordata; Actinopteri; Anabantiformes; Osphronemidae. The record is from RNAcentral.
GGUGAUGAUGGUGAGAAUGGGUUUUUAGGGAAGACAGGGACUGCAGGAAGGAGGGUAAGUGUAAACUCUACAUCUUUGAUAAAUCCAAGAUCAUUUUCAGUUUUUAGGUAUAUUAUCAGAUUUGUGUUACUGGUAAAGUAAAAGUUGUACAUUUGAUAAAAAUAGGAAAGAGGCAAAAACUGUGUUAACAAGUUUAUACAUAAAAUAAUGUUUCAUAUAUGUGCAGUCCUAGAAUGCACAUAUAUGAACACAGACGUGUUCCCAUACUGAAAUAAACUUUAAACAAAUUUUCAGGGAAAACGUGGAAAGGCAGGAAUGAGAGGGAUAAGGGGAGACAGAGGACCAAAGGGAGAAAAGGGAGACACAGGACCAGAAGGACUUUCUGGGUGGCCAGGUCUUAUUGGACUUCCUGGGCUGCGUGGAGAGCUGGGAAAUGAAGGUGAAGAAGGAAAAGAGGUAAACAAUAAUUUGAAAUGGACCUGAAAGUUAAUAGGUUAAGUAAUUAGUUGCAACAUGGUAUCAUAAUCCAUGGAUUCAUAACAACAUCAUCUUAAGUGUUAUGAAAAACCUAAAAUUUAAAUUUUUAGCAUAUAAAUAAAAAACACAAGCAGCAGUGAAUUUUCA